Molecule: ribosomal RNA, 771 nt
Filed under: uncultured Rubrobacteraceae bacterium
Lineage: Bacteria; Bacillati; Actinomycetota; Rubrobacteria; Rubrobacterales; Rubrobacteraceae
Description: bacterial SSU rRNA
Rfam family: Bacterial small subunit ribosomal RNA
Source: RNAcentral
GUCGAGCGAGAACUAGUCCUUCGGGACUAGGGACAGCGGCGAACGGGUAAGUAACACGUGAGUAAUCCACCCUCGGUACCGGAAUAGCCCGGGGAAACUCGGAUUAAUGCCGGAUGGCCCAUUUGCUCUUCGGAGCUGAAUGGAAAAGAUAGCUUUGGCCUUCGACCGGGGACGAGCUCGCGGCGGAUUAGCUUGUUGGCGGGGUAACGGCCCACCAAGGCGACGAUCCGUAGCUGGUCUGAGAGGACGAUCGGCCACACUGGGACUGAGACACGGCCCAGACUCCUACGGGAGGCAGCAGUGGGGAAUCUUGCGCAAUGGGCGAAAGCCUGACGCAGCGACGCCGCGUGAGGGAAGAAGGCCUUCGGGUUGUAAACCUCUUUCAGGAGGGACGAAGCCACUCGGGUUAAUAGCCCAGAGGGUGACGGUACCUCCAGAAGAAGCCCCGGCUAACUACGUGCCAGCAGCCGCGGUAAUACGUAGGGGGCAAGCGUUGUCCGGAUUUAUUGGGCGUAAAGAGCGUGUAGGCGGCUUCACAAGUCCGCUGUGAAAACUCGAGGCUCAACCUCGAGCUGUCGGUGGAAACUGUGUGGCUAGAGUCCGGAAGAGGAGAGUGGAAUUCCCGGUGUAGCGGUGAAAUGCGCAGAUAUCGGGAAGAACACCCGUGGCGAAGGCGGCUCUCUGGGACGGUACUGACGCUGAGACGCGAAAGCGUGGGGAGCGAACAGGAUUAGAUACCCUGGUAGUCCACGCCGUAAACGAUGGGUGCUA